UACGGGGGGGGCAAGCGUUGUUCGGAAUUACUGGGCGUAAAGGGUUCGUAGGUGGCCAACUAAGUCAUACGUGAAAUCCCUCAGCUUAACCGGGGAACUGCGUCUGAUACUGGAUGGCUUGAGUUCGGGAGAGGGAUGCGGAAUUCCAGGUGUAGCGGUGAAAUGCGUAGAUAUCUGGAGGAACACCGGUGGCGAAGGCGGCAUCCUGGACCGAUACUGACGCUGAGGAGCGAAAGCCAGGGGAGCAAACGGG
Molecule: ribosomal RNA, 253 nt
Filed under: uncultured bacterium
Lineage: Bacteria
Description: partial 16S ribosomal RNA
Rfam family: Bacterial small subunit ribosomal RNA
Source: RNAcentral